Schistosoma margrebowiei is the source of this 45-nucleotide non-coding RNA. NCBI's taxonomy places the organism in Eukaryota, Metazoa, Platyhelminthes, Trematoda, Strigeidida, Schistosomatidae. The record is from Rfam.
AUGCAGCUGACGAGUCCCAGGCGGGACAAAACGCGCGUCCUGGAU